GGGUUGUGAGGUUAAGCGACUAAGCGUACACGGUGGAUGCCCUGGCAGUCAGAGGCGAUGAAGGACGUGCUAAUCUGCGAAAAGCGUCGGUAAGGUGAUAUGAACCGUUACAGCCGGCGAUGUCCGAAUGGGGAAACCCAGUGCAAUUCGUUGCACUAUCGUUAACUGAAUACAUAGGUUAACGAGGCGAACCGGGGGAACUGAAACAUCUAAGUACCCCGAGGAAAAGAAAUCAACCGAGAUUCCCCCAGUAGCGGCGAGCGAACGGGGAGCAGCCCAGAGUCUGAAUCAGCUUGUGUGUUAGUGGAACGGUCUGGAAAGUCCGACGGUACAGGGUGAUAGUCCCGUACACCAAAAUGCACAGGUUGUGAACUCGAAGAGUAGGGCGGGACACGUGGUAUCCUGUCUGAAUAUGGGGGGACCAUCCUCCAAGGCUAAAUACUCCUGACUGACCGAUAGUGAACCAGUACCGUGAGGGAAAGGCGAAAAGAACCCCGGCGAGGGGAGUGAAAAAGAACCUGAAACCGUGUACGUACAAGCAGUGGGAGCACCUUCGGGUGUGACUGCGUACCUUUUGUAUAAUGGGUCAGCGACUUAUAUUCUGUAGCAAGGUUAACCGUAUAGGGGAGCCGCAGGGAAACCGAGUCUUAACUGGGCGUUAAGUUGCAGGGUAUAGACCCGAAACCCGGUGAUCUAGCCAUGGGCAGGUUGAAGGUUGGGUAACACUAACUGGAGGACCGAACCGACUAAUGUUGAAAAAUUAGCGGAUGACUUGUGGCUGGGGGUGAAAGGCCAAUCAAACCGGGAGAUAGCUGGUUCUCCCCGAAAGCUAUUUAGGUAGCGCCUCGUGAAUUCAUCUUCGGGGGUAGAGCACUGUUUCGGCUAGGGGGUCAUCCCGACUUACCAACCCGAUGCAAACUACGAAUACCGAAGAAUGUUAUCACGGGAGACACACGGCGGGUGCUAACGUCCGUCGUGAAGAGGGAAACAACCCAGACCGCCAGCUAAGGUCCCAAAGUCAUGGUUAAGUGGGAAACGAUGUGGGAAGGCACAGACAGCCAGGAUGUUGGCUUAGAAGCAGCCAUCAUUUAAAGAAAGCGUAAUAGCUCACUGGUCGAGUCGGCCUGCGCGGAAGAUGUAACGGGGCUAAACCAUGCACCGAAGCUGCGGCAGCGACACUAUGUGUUGUUGGGUAGGGGAGCGUUCUGUAAGCCUGCGAAGGUGUGCUGUGAGGCAUGCUGGAGGUAUCAGAAGUGCGAAUGCUGACAUAAGUAACGAUAAAGCGGGUGAAAAGCCCGCUCGCCGGAAGACCAAGGGUUCCUGUCCAACGUUAAUCGGGGCAGGGUGAGUCGACCCCUAAGGCGAGGCCGAAAGGCGUAGUCGAUGGGAAACAGGUUAAUAUUCCUGUACUUGGUGUUACUGCGAAGGGGGGACGGAGAAGGCUAUGUUAGCCGGGCGACGGUUGUCCCGGUUUAAGCAUGUAGGCUGGUUGUCCAGGCAAAUCCGGAUAAUCAAGGCUGAGGUGUGAUGACGAGGCACUACGGUGCUGAAGUAACAAAUGCCCUGCUUCCAGGAAAAGCCUCUAAGCAUCAGGUAACAUUAAAUCGUACCCCAAACCGACACAGGUGGUCAGGUAGAGAAUACCAAGGCGCUUGAGAGAACUCGGGUGAAGGAACUAGGCAAAAUGGUGCCGUAACUUCGGGAGAAGGCACGCUGGUGUGUAGGUGAAGUCCCUGCGGAUGGAGCUGAGACCAGUCGAAGAUACCAGCUGGCUGCAACUGUUUAUUAAAAACACAGCACUGUGCAAACACGAAAGUGGACGUAUACGGUGUGACGCCUGCCCGGUGCCGGAAGGUUAAUUGAUGGGGUUAUCCGUAAGGAGAAGCUCUUGAUCGAAGCCCCGGUAAACGGCGGCCGUAACUAUAACGGUCCUAAGGUAGCGAAAUUCCUUGUCGGGUAAGUUCCGACCUGCACGAAUGGCGUAAUGAUGGCCAGGCUGUCUCCACCCGAGACUCAGUGAAAUUGAACUCGCUGUGAAGAUGCAGUGUACCCGCGGCAAGACGGAAAGACCCCGUGAACCUUUACUAUAGCUUGACACUGAACAUUGAGCCUUGAUGUGUAGGAUAGGUGGGAGGCUUUGAAGCGUGGACGCCAGUCUGCGUGGAGCCAACCUUGAAAUACCACCCUUUAAUGUUUGAUGUUCUAACGUUGGCCCCUUACCGGGGUUGCGGACAGUGUCUGGUGGGUAGUUUGACUGGGGCGGUCUCCUCCCAAAGCGUAACGGAGGAGCACGAAGGUUAGCUAAUCCUGGUCGGACAUCAGGAGGUUAGUGCAAUGGCAUAAGCUAGCUUGACUGCGAGCGUGACGGCGCGAGCAGGUGCGAAAGCAGGUCAUAGUGAUCCGGUGGUUCUGAAUGGAAGGGCCAUCGCUCAACGGAUAAAAGGUACUCCGGGGAUAACAGGCUGAUACCGCCCAAGAGUUCAUAUCGACGGCGGUGUUUGGCACCUCGAUGUCGGCUCAUCACAUCCUGGGGCUGAAGUAGGUCCCAAGGGUAUGGCUGUUCGCCAUUUAAAGUGGUACGCGAGCUGGGUUUAGAACGUCGUGAGACAGUUCGGUCCCUAUCUGCCGUGGGCGCUGGAGAAUUGAGGGGGGCUGCUCCUAGUACGAGAGGACCGGAGUGGACGCAUCACUGGUGUUCGGGUUGUCAUGCCAAUGGCACUGCCCGGUAGCUAAAUGCGGAAGAGAUAAGUGCUGAAAGCAUCUAAGCACGAAACUUGCCCCGAGAUGAGUUCUCCCUGAGACUUUAAGUCUCCUGAAGGAACGUUGAAGACGACGACGUUGAUAGGCCGGGUGUGUAAGCGCAGCGAUGCGUUGAGCUAACCGGUACUAAUGAACCGUGAGGCUUAACCUUACAACGCCGAAG
RNAcentral lists this ribosomal RNA (2923 nucleotides) under Klebsiella pneumoniae. RNAcentral describes it as "23S ribosomal RNA". It matches the Rfam family "Bacterial large subunit ribosomal RNA". Lineage: Bacteria; Pseudomonadati; Pseudomonadota; Gammaproteobacteria; Enterobacterales; Enterobacteriaceae. The record is from RNAcentral.